UCCUUUACUAAUGCAGAAAUGAAGUCAGUUGCAUAUUGUGAAAUCUAGACUCAAUGUGUACAUUGCUGUCAUCUAGUAAUGUCUUAUUUGAUAGAGUGCUUGCUUAUAUAAACUAUUUCACAAUAAUAUAAAAGAAUCUCUUCACUAAGCUUUUAUUUGAAAGGUAAAGUACAGAUUUAUUAAAAGUAGAAUUGCUUUUUCAUGUUGUUUGAUUGGGAACAAAAUGUUGGUAAAUGAUUAGCUCUUUCUGGGGUGUUGGAAAAAGAGUGCCAAGUAUGGUUAUACUCUAGUAAUUCUAAAGUGUAACAUGUCUUCUAUCCUUUGUAAAUGUUAUCUGACGUGAAAAAAGGAGAAUGAUCUUACAGUUUUAUGAGUUUAAAAAUUUUUUUUCUAUCAGAUAGUAGUAGCUAGAAGCUUCAGGAAACUAAAACUGAUAAUCAAAAUAUGGCUUUUAUAUGUGUAUUUUUUUGAUGCCUAAAAUAAGGAACAUUCAAACAAAGCUUAGAUGAGAAUAAAUUGAUAAAAAUCUGUAUAUAUCUAUCUAAUUUGUCUUAUAAUAUAUUGAAUGUUAUUACCUGUCUCCAUCUCUCUUAAAGGAAAAAAAGACGACAUUACACAGCAACAUGAUUAUUUAAUUAAUAGCUUUUCCUUUUGAUGCCAGUCUUGUUUUAGUUAUAAUAACACUAAUAGGUAUAUCUGUCAAAGGACUUACAAAUAAAAGAUAUUCAAGUCUGUAGUUGUUUUUAUCAUAUAUUUUAUAUUCUGUCCACUUUACUAAUUUAGUUUUUUAAAAAUUUUGACAUUGUUUAUGGGAUCAUGGCUAUCAGAUACUCUGAUAAUAUCAAGAACAGUGAUAGAAAAGGAAAAAAUGUUAUCUACCAGAGUUUUAAAACUAUAUUUACUUUGAAAUGUGACACUCAUGCAGAAAACUAUGCAAAAUAUAAAUGUACAGCUCAGUGAGUUGGCAAACUACCACUCAUGUCAAGAAAUAGAACAUUACUAGUAUCCAAAAACUACCCUUGUACACCUCCCCAUCCUUCUCCCUCCUCCUUUCCCAAUGGUACCCCUGAACUAACUACUAAUCCUAUAGUUUUCCCCUUUUUUGAAUUUUAUAUGAAAGGGACAGCAUAGUAAGUAUUCUUUUGUGUUUGAUGUUUUGGGCUGAACAUUUUGUUUAUGAGAUGUAUUCAUGUAGUUGUGUGUAGCUGCAGUUUGUUAAAAAACUAUGAAAGUGAAUUCAGUGUUCACUUUCAUUGCUUUACGAUAUUCCAUUGCAUGAAUACAUGUAAUUCUAUCACUGAGAGAGUAAUUUGGGUUGUUUCCCAGUUUGGGCCAUGACGAAUAAUGCUGCCAUGAACAUCUUAUAAAUAUCUCCUUGUACAUAUAUAAACAUUCUUCUUAUAAGUGGAAUUGUUGAGUUAUAGAGUGUGCACAUGUCGAUUUUUAGAUAAUCCCAAGUUGUUUUUAGCAGCAUGUACCAAUUAAGACUCUCAUAACAAUGGUGUAAGAGUUCCAGAUGCUCUACAUCUUGACCAACUGUCAAUGGUUUUCGAUUUAGCCAUUCUGGAAAAUUUGUAGUAGUAUGUCCCCUGUGAUUUGAGUUAAACUCUGAAGGCUUUCAGGCAUAUGUUAUCUUGUAAGGAUACAUUUUUUUCUUUUGAGACGGAGUUUCGGAGUUUCGCUCUUGUCCGCCAUGCUGGAAUGCAAUGGCGUGAUUUUGGCUCGCUGCAACCUCUGCCUCCUGGGUUCAAACGAUACUCCUGCCUCAGCCUCCUAAGUAGCUGGGAUUAUAGGCAUGUGCCACCACACCCUGUUAAUUUUUGUAUUUUUAGUAGAGACAGGGUUUCACUGUGUUGGCCAGACUGGUCUCAAACUCCUGACCUCAAGUGAUCCACCCACCUUGGCCUCCCAGAGUGCUGGGAUUAUAGGUGUGAGCCACUGUGCCUAGCUCUAAGGACACAUUUUUUAACCAUUAUGUACUUUUCUCAUUUGCAAAAUGUGGAUAAUAGAAACCCUGACUUUGUAAGCUUAGUUUGAUAAUUAAAUGAAUUAAUAUUUGUAAAGCACUUAAGACAGUUCCUGGGAGACACUAAGCAUUAUAUAGGCAUUUGUUGCUAUUAUUACCAUUUUUAUAAUUUAUUUUUGUGGUUCUGAAAUUUUACAGUGAUUUGUUUAGACAUAGGUGUUUUUCACAAUUGUUUUGGAUAUCCAAACCGUAUAUGGGUCCAUACGUUUUGAAGACUCAUGUUCUUCUGUUCUGCUAAAUUCUGUUAUAUUAUUUCUUUGAUGAUUUUCUCACUUUUUUCUUUCUUGAGCCUAUUAGUCAGAUGUUUGAUCUUUUGCAUCCCUUUCUCUUUUGUUUUAUGGGUUGGGUUAUCUUGAGUUUAUCCCCAACACUUCUAUCGAAUUUCAUUUGUAUUGUUAGGUAUAUUUUUAAUUUCUAAUUAGAAUUUACUACUUUUUGUUUUUUUGGUAAAGUUCACUACUGUUCCCUGAGUGAUUUUAAUUCUUUCAUGGUCAUUUAGUUUCCCUUUCAUUUCGAUUCUUUUUCUGUCAUAGGUUUUCUAUAAAUGUUUAUUUUAUCCUAGUGUAUCUAUUUUUAUUUAAGAAUAAGGCAAGAACACCUGCAUAUGACUUCUAUAUAUCAUUGGUCCACUCUAGGAUAAGUGGGGAGCAAGCUGGCCACCACGCAUUGAGAUGCUUAAAUGUCAGAAUGUGGAGGGGUUUGCAUUAUAGUGCUAACCUCUACACUGGAUAGUUUAGUUCAUUUCUUCAGAAAAAUAUGCCCUCUUUUGUUGCCUUGGGGUAAAUGUUUGGCUGCCAGAUAAUCUUUGCAUGGGAGUGGGGUAAGAUUUGACUUCUACCUCUAGGGAUUUUCAGUUAAUCUCUUGUUUUCUUCUGCACAUACUACUCAAAGACUGUAACCUACUUGGUGUUUCCAAAGUUCUCUAGGGUCUUGCAGGGUGGAUUGGCUUUUUGCUACCCUGAGUCUCCUCUAUGUAUAUACUCUAAGCUGUGGCUUCCUUCAUCCUAUUUUAUUUGUUAUCACUUCUGUCUUCCAGAAAUAUGUUGAAAUCUUUAUCUAUUAUAACAGAUCCUCCCAUUCUCUUUAUGGCUGUGAAUUUAUACUUUUUGUUUGUUUGUUUUUGUUUUCUUGCUCUCUUGCCCAAGCUGGAGUGCAGUGGCAUGAUCAUAGCUCACUGCAGCCUCAACUUCCUGGGCUCAAGCAGUCCUCCUGCCUCAGCUUCUUGGGUAACUAGGACUCCAGGCUUGCACCACCACACUCGGCUAAUUUAAAAAUUUUUUUGUAGAGAUGGGGUUUUGCCAUGUUGCUGAGGCUGGUCUCAAACUCCUGGCUCAAGCAAUCUUCCUGCCUUGGCCUUCCAAAGUGUUGGGUUUACAGGUGUGAGCCACGACUUCUGGCCUGAAUUUAUACUAUUAAAUUCCUUUUCCUAUUAUUUUAAGAGUCUCUCGGGAAGGAGAGGAGGUAAACAUUAGUGCCUAGCUCACCAUUUUGAACUGAAAAUCUAAUUGUGAUAUUGUUUUAAUUAACAAUGUUGUUAGUUUCUAAUUAAGUACAUAUAUUACUUUAUACUAUUAAUAUAUAUAAUAGAGGAAGUGUAGCGAUCUCAGUAAAUUUUUUUUUAACUUGCUGUUGGAACAUUGUUUUAUUCUCUAGAUUUUGGUAUGUUAUAAUAAUAUUGUGAAGUAAUCUAACAGAAACAAAGCUAUGUUUUAAAUCUUUAGAGCUCUUUUAAACCAAAACAAAUCAGUUGCUGCUUAGCAGUAGAUUUAAUGUAUUUGAUGCUGUUAUACAUAAUUUCAUGUUUGUUUAUCAC
RNAcentral lists this long non-coding RNA (3839 nucleotides) under Homo sapiens (human). RNAcentral describes it as "HSALNT0008177". Lineage: Eukaryota; Metazoa; Chordata; Mammalia; Primates; Hominidae. The record is from RNAcentral.